Molecule: ribosomal RNA, 501 nt
Filed under: Triticum aestivum (bread wheat)
Lineage: Eukaryota; Viridiplantae; Streptophyta; Magnoliopsida; Poales; Poaceae
Description: partial small subunit ribosomal RNA
Source: RNAcentral
ACGCCUUGUAGUAGCAACGACAAAUAUCUCUCCGCCGCUGCCACACGGGUGUGCAUCGGAGAUGGAAACAAAGCUAAGUUCUGGGAAUCUCCAUGGCUGGCCGGCCUCCGCCCUAAAGACAUUGCACCAAAGAUUUUUGAGUUGUCAAAAAAGAAAACGUGCCUGGUCAGGAAAGCUCUUGACAAUAACCUUUGGAUCCGCCAUAUUGACACUCAGCAGGGGCUAACCUUGGCCCAUAUUCAGGAAUUUGCAACCAUGUGGGGGAUGCUUGCUGAUGUAACCCUCAACCAGGGAAGCCAAGACACCAUAACUUGGAAGUUCACAAACAAUAGCGAGUACUCUGCCUCCUCGGCUUACAUGACGCAAUUUGCCGGUCUCUCCUUGUGUCCAAUGAAUGCUACAAUCUGGAAGACGUGGGCUCCAACGAAGUGCAAAUUUUUUGCUUGGUUGAUCUUCCAACAUCGUUUUUGGACAACUAAUCAUUUACUGCGGCGAGGCUGA